Molecule: non-coding RNA, 97 nt
Filed under: Pseudanabaena sp.
Lineage: Bacteria; Bacillati; Cyanobacteriota; Cyanophyceae; Pseudanabaenales; Pseudanabaenaceae
Also listed under: 1 other name
Description: Glutamine-I sequence
Rfam family: Glutamine riboswitch aptamer (glnA leader)
Source: RNAcentral
AUCGUUCAUCUUUGGCAGUCGGGUGUCGUUAUAUUUGUAAUAUUCAUCUCGUAUUUCCAAGGACGGAAGUAAGGUUCAUAGCCUGAAGGAACGCAUU